UGGGGGAUAUUGCACAAUGGGCGAAAGCCUGAUGCAGCGACGCCGCGUGGGGGAUGAAGGCUUUCGGGUUGUAAACCUCUUUCGCUAUCGAACAAGGCCCGCUUAGGGUGGGUUGAGGGUAGGUGGAGAAGAAGCGCCGGCUAACUACGUGCCAGCAGCCGCGGUAAUACGUAGGGCGCGAGCGUUGUCCGGAAUUAUUGGGCGUAAAGGGCUUGUAGGCGGCUUGUUGCGCCUGCUGUGAAAACGCGGGGCGUGACUUCGCGCUUGCAGUGGGUACGGGCAGGCUUGAGUGUGGUAGGGGUGACUGGAAUUCCAGGUGUAGCGGUGGAAUGCGAAGAUAUCUAGAGGGACACCGAUGGCGAAGGCAGGUCACUGGGCCAUUACUGACGCUGAGGAGCGAAAGCAUGGGUAGCGAAGAGG
RNAcentral lists this ribosomal RNA (420 nucleotides) under bacterium. RNAcentral's name for it is "partial 16S ribosomal RNA". It matches the Rfam family "Bacterial small subunit ribosomal RNA", at positions 355 to 776 of the family's 1533-position model. The record is from RNAcentral.